CCGGGCCUCCCCGGUGGGUGGCCUGCGGACGCAGCCCCAGGCGGUGGUAAGCUCCCCGGAAGGCCAAGCCCCGGCGGGAGGCCGCGGGCACCCAGUGCCCUAAGGGAAGGUUGACGAGAGCUUUGAAGAGACUUCCGGGGCGAGAAACCCCUAAGAGGUAAAAGGGUGGCGGCCUGGCCCUGCGGGUGGCCCCGCGCCUCCCCCCCCGCCCCGUUCCUCCCCACCCUCCCUCCUCCCGGGUGCAGGGGUGCGGGCGGUGGGGGAUGCGCCCCCCCGCGUGUUACAGGCCCCGGCCGCAGCCCCUGCUGAAGCCUCCUCUCCCCCUGCCGGGGCCGCUGGGGUGGGGGGCCCUGUCCCCGCGCCCCGGCCCCGCGACGACGGCGACGGUCCCCGGGGCACCCGGCGGGUCGCGCCUUCAGGCUGGGGGUUUCCAGGCGCGCGGGGACCCCAGCGAGGCGAGCGCCCUCCCGGCAGGCGCCACGAGGCGGGGCUCCCAGGAAAGCUCUGGGGUGAUGGAGGUGAAGGCGGGGCUGCUCAGGCUGAGGGGCCUCGAGGCCUCCAGUCCCCCGAGGGCGCACCGCCCGCCCCUCGGCACCCGGGGAGGUGGAGCAUGGGCGCACGUGUUAGGACCCAGAAGGCGGUGAGCUCUGCCUGGGCAGGCGGCGGAGGGAACAGGUGGAGGUCCUUAAGGUCCUGACGUGCACACUGGUCAUGGGGCCUGGGGAUGGGGAGGGAACACUGAUGGGACCAUCUAGUAGCUGGUUCCUUCCGGUUACCCUCAGGAAGCUGGCGCUCGCGCCCGAACCCACGCAGUUUUAGCCCGUAAAGGAAUGAUUAGAGGCCUUGGGGCUCAAAGGCUCUCAUCCUAUUCUCUACUUUAAAUGGGUAAGAAGCCCGGCUGGCUGGCGUGGACCGGGCGUGGACUGCGGGUGCCUCGUGGGCCACGUUUGGUUAGCGAACUGGCGCUGCGGGAUGAACCCAGGCCGUCAGACCCGAGAGGAGGGGUUGGUUCAUCCAGACGGCAGGACGGUGGCCGGGGAAGUCGGAAUCCGCUAAGGAGCGUGUAACAGCUCACCUGCCCAAUCCCUAGCCCUGAAAACGGAUGGCGCUGCAGCAUCAGGCCCAGACCCUGGGGUCGCUGGCAGUCGGUGACCCACGGGAGAGGGACAGAGCGGCCGCCUGGGUCCCCCCACUGCGGGAGCCAGGAAGCCUGGAUGCCGCUGGGGAAGCCGCCGCAGGUGCAGAUCCUGGUGGUAGUAGCAGAUGUGCAAAGGAGAACUCUGAAGGCCAAGGUGGAGGAGGGCGCCGUGUGCACAGCAGUCGAGCCGGGUCAGUCGCUGCCAGAGAGAUGGGCGAGCUCCGGUCCCAAGGGACAGGUGAUGGCCUGCGUUGCCCUGAGCAGAUGGAAAGGGAGUCAGGUUCAGAUCCCCGAAUCCGGAGUGGCGGAGAUGGGUCCUUGUGACACAACCCAUCCUGGAGAAGCCCAGGGAGCCCCGGGGAGGCUUCUCUUUUCUUUGUGAAGGGCAGGGCGCCCUGGAAUGGGUUCCCCGGAGAGAGGGGCUGUGCCUUGGGAAGUGUCGCGGUUCUGGGGCGUCUGGUGAGCUCUUGCUGGCCCUUAAAAUCGGGGGGAGCGGGUAUAAACCUCGGGCUGGGCUGUACCCAUAUCCGCAGCAGCUCUCCAAGGUGAACAGCCGCUGGCAGGUAGGCACAACGUAGGGAAGGGAGGUCGAGAGCUGGAUCCGUAACUUCGGGAUAAGGAUUGGCUGUAAGAGCUGAGUGGGUCAGGCUGGGGCACCUCCUCCCACCCAGGCCUCUCCCUCCCCAUUCCCCUCCCGCCCAGGGCGGCCAGGGAGAUCCCUGCAGGGGGCCAACUAGGACUGUGCACAGGAGCUGGCCCUAACCAUGGGUAGCCCCAGCUUCAUCCCCUGUCUUCACCCGCCCUCGACCCCCUGCCCACCGUGGUGGCCGCCCCACUGGUCCCCCCACCCGUCCGCCCCUGGGCCCAGGUUCUGUGGCGCCUCCCUUCCAUGGGCGCCUAGCAGCAGACUUAGAACUGGAGGGGACCUGGGGGAUCGGACUAAUGAAAGCAUCGCGAAGGCCCGCGCGGUGUUGACGGAUGUGAUUUCUGCCCUGUGCUCUGAAUGUCAAAGUGGAGAAAUUCAGUGAAGCGCGGGUAAAGGGCAGGAGUAACUAGGACUCUCAAGGCAGCCGACCACCUCUCAUCUGAUUAGUGACCCGCAGGAAUGGGUGAGCGCGGUUCCCACUGUCCCUACCUACAAUCAGCGAAACCACAGCCAAGGGGGGCUUGGCGGCAUCAGCGGGGAAAGAAGACCCUGCUGAGCGUGACUCUAGGCUGGCAGGUGAAGAGACGGAGAGGUGUAGAGUAAGUGGGGGGCCCGCGAGGGGGCGGGAAGGGGUCCUCCAGCCUGUGGCCCUGGUGAAAUACCACGACUCUUAUGGUUUUUUCACUGACCUGGGUGGGGGGCAAGCCCGGAGGGGCUCUUGCUUCUGUUGCCAAGCCCAGACCCGCUCCCAGGACAGUGCCAGGUGGGGAGUUUGGCCGGUACACCUGUCAAACGAUAACGCAGGUGUCCUAAGGCCAGAAACCUCCCGUGGAGCAGAAGGGCAAAGCUCACUUGAUCUUGAGUUUCAGUACGAAUACAGACCGUGAAAGCGGGUCUCACGAUCCUUCUGACCUUUGGGGUUUUGAGCAGGAGGUGUCAGAAAAGUUCCUACAGGGGUAACUGGCAAGCGUUCAUAGCGACGUUGCUUUUUGAUCCUUGAAUGUUGGCUCUUCCUGUCAUUGUGAAGCAGAAUUCACCAAGCGUUGGGUUGUCCACCCACUAAUAGGGAAGGUGAGCUGGGUUUAGGCCGUGGUGAGACAGGUUAGUUUUACCUACUGAUGAUGCCAUGGUGAUCCUGCUCGGUAGGCACCAGGGGAAACGCAGGUUCAGAGGUUUGGUGUGUGUGCUUGACUGAGGAGCCAAUGGGGGAAGCAUCCAUCUGUGGGAUUAGGACUGAGCCUCUAAGUCAGAAUCCUGCCCAGGCGGAAGGAUAGGGCAGCCGGUGGGGCCUGGUUGGCCUGGGACAGCCAACGAGGUCGCUGUGGAGCCCCAGCAGGUGCCCCAACAGCAUCCCCUGCAGAGAGCCCCUCCUCCUGGGACAUGGGCUCUCGC
Molecule: ribosomal RNA, 3176 nt
Filed under: Canis lupus dingo (dingo)
Lineage: Eukaryota; Metazoa; Chordata; Mammalia; Carnivora; Canidae
Description: eukaryotic LSU rRNA
Rfam family: Eukaryotic large subunit ribosomal RNA (bases 501-3176)
Source: RNAcentral